RNAcentral lists this ribosomal RNA (274 nucleotides) under uncultured bacterium. RNAcentral's name for it is "partial 16S ribosomal RNA". It matches the Rfam family "Bacterial small subunit ribosomal RNA", at positions 523 to 796 of the family's 1533-position model. The record is from RNAcentral.
AUACGGAGGGUGCGAGCGUUAAUCGGAAUUACUGGGCGUAAAGCGCGCGUAGGCGGUUUAAUCAGUCGGAUGUGAAAGCCCCGGGCUCAACCUGGGAACUGCAUUCGAUACUGUUAAGCUAGAGUAUGGUAGAGGGAAGUGGAAUUCCAGGUGUAGCGGUGAAAUGCGUAGAUAUCUGGAGGAACAUCAGUGGCGAAGGCGACUUCCUGGACCAAUACUGACGCUGAGGUGCGAAAGCGUGGGGAGCAAACAGGAUUAGAAACCCGAGUAGUCC